Molecule: long non-coding RNA, 201 nt
Filed under: Elaeis guineensis (African oil palm)
Lineage: Eukaryota; Viridiplantae; Streptophyta; Magnoliopsida; Arecales; Arecaceae
Description: long non-coding RNA (EGUI_LNC040261)
Source: RNAcentral
AAGUGUUAAAAUCGCGGUUAAAGAUCAAAAAUUGAUCAAAGAUCUAAAAGAUUGAGAUUUAUCUUCAAGAAGAUAGAUCUAUAAUGAGAAGAAAGGUUCAAAACUGAUUUUGAUGGAUAUCUAUAGAGGUCGGACACGUGUGUGCCUUAGGAACCUUCAGAUCUAGGAUUAUCAGUUGUGGUGUAUUUCAACUCACGCAAG